This 25-nucleotide ribosomal RNA is filed under the name Symbiodinium sp. ex Montipora spongodes. Its description in RNAcentral is "partial 5.8S ribosomal RNA". RNAcentral also lists the same sequence under 2 other names. Lineage: Eukaryota; Dinophyceae; Suessiales; Symbiodiniaceae. The record is from RNAcentral.
CUUUCAGCGAUGGAUAUCUUGGCUC